This 406-nucleotide ribosomal RNA is filed under the name uncultured bacterium. RNAcentral describes it as "partial 16S ribosomal RNA". It matches the Rfam family "Bacterial small subunit ribosomal RNA", at positions 29 to 526 of the family's 1533-position model. The record is from RNAcentral.
AUUGAACGCUGGCGGCAGGCCUAACACAUGCAAGUCGGACGAGCGGCGGACGGGUGAGUAAUGUAUGGGAAACUGCCUGAUGGAGGGGGAUAACUACUGGAAACGGUAGCUAAUACCGCAUACCAUCAGAUGUACCCAUAUGGGAUUAGCUGGUAGGUGGGGUAACGGCUCACCUGGGCGACGAUCCCUAGCUGGUCUGAGAGGAUGACCAGCCAAACUGGAACGGAUACACGGCCCAGACUGCGACGGGAGGAAGAAGUGGGGAAUAGUGCACAAUGGGCGCAAGCCUGAUGCAGCCAUGCCGCGUGUAUGAAGAAGGCCUUCGGGUUGUAAAGUACUUUCAGCGGGGAGGCGUUACCGGCAGAAGAAGCACCGGCUAACGCCGUGCCAGCAGCCGCGGUAAUAC